GGGCACGUGGUGGAAUUGGCAGACACGCGGGACUUAGGAUCCCGUGGAGAAAUCCGUGCAGGUUCAAAUCCUGUCGUGCCCACCA
Molecule: transfer RNA, 85 nt
Filed under: Verrucomicrobiota bacterium
Lineage: Bacteria; Pseudomonadati; Verrucomicrobiota
Also listed under: 1 other name
Description: Verrucomicrobia bacterium (anaerobic digester metagenome) tRNA-Leu
Rfam family: tRNA
About the family: Transfer RNA (tRNA) molecules are approximately 80 nucleotides in length. Their secondary structure includes four short double-helical elements and three loops (D, anti-codon, and T loops).
Source: RNAcentral